This 253-nucleotide ribosomal RNA is filed under the name uncultured bacterium. RNAcentral describes it as "partial 16S ribosomal RNA". It matches the Rfam family "Bacterial small subunit ribosomal RNA", at positions 524 to 776 of the family's 1533-position model. The record is from RNAcentral.
UACGGAGGGUGCGAGCGUUGUCCGGAAUCACUGGGCGUAAAGGGCGCGUAGGCGGCCUGGCAAGUCGGUGGUGAAAGCCCGGGGCUCAACCCCGGAACUGCCCUCGAAACUAGGUAGCUAGAAUCUUGGAGAGGUCAGUGGAAUUCCGAGUGUAGAGGUGAAAUUCGUAGAUAUUCGGAAGAACACCAGUGGCGAAGGCGACUGACUGGACAAGUAUUGACGCUGAGGUGCGAAAGCGUGGGGAGCAAACAGG